RNAcentral lists this long non-coding RNA (249 nucleotides) under Vigna radiata. Its description in RNAcentral is "long non-coding RNA (VRAD_LNC008793)". The record is from RNAcentral. Lineage: Eukaryota; Viridiplantae; Streptophyta; Magnoliopsida; Fabales; Fabaceae.
GCCUGGCUGCAGCUUAAGCAGAACGGCGCCGUUUCAGUUUUGAGUAUGUUGCCUUUGAGGGUGCUCGAGCAAGGGUUUCAUCUCUCCGAAAGUGAAAAAUAAUCUUCAAGAGGAAUUCCAGUGAGUUCCGAGAGAAAGAAUACAACGCAACCUUCAGAGCUAGGGCAAGGAGCAAAGUGUGAAAGAAUGAGAGAGGAAAGCACUCAAUGGUUCAUAGCAGCUACCCAAAUAGAUGACCUGUCCUACCCG